UGGCUGCCAACGGGAUUAAAAAAUAACAAUUAAUGGGAAAGCAGCCGGGACGGAGCGUCCCGGUGACCCCUGUGAGGGAGGAAAGGAGCAGGGCAAGGAGCCCAGACCCCGGAGGGGGGGGACACACAGCGCUCCCCCGGAGCAGCCCCAAGCCGCGGCUUCCCCGGCUGCCACGGGACGAGGCUCCCACGGGAAGCAGCUCACAUGGCCGGACCGUGGCUAACAGAGCUGCCUUUGAAGUCGGGCUGUCCCCACGCCUCGGGCAGCGGGGCCAGCUCUGAAACGCCCGCUCCGGCAGCCGAGCCGGCGAGCACCCGGGGAGCCGAGCCUCCCUCUGCGGGUCAUCCCGACCGGCUCCCUGGAGACACGCCAUCAAUCCACCGCCCGGGAACAGCCCUGCUAAACCCAGCAUUCGGCUCUCCUGCAGAGGGGAAUGAGAUGCAGAGCCCUCGGACCUGCGAGGAAAGGAUUUUUUUUUUGCUGCUGUUCGUGGAACAAAGAGUCUUUUGUCUGCGUUCGAUGUUAUCAGGAGUUAUUUUUAGGUCAACGCCUGCACUUGCUGGUGUUGUCGGGAUUAUCUCUAAAUCGACAGACCUUCAAAGACACUGCCUGAGCACGAAGAGGGAGGAAAUCCUUGUGUUGUCUCUUGGAAGGGACAUUUGCCCUUGGGCUCGGCCCGAUAAGGGUUUAUUGCUCAAACUGGGGAAUUCCUAUUAAAGUCCUACAACUUCUUAA
Passer domesticus (house sparrow) is the source of this 735-nucleotide long non-coding RNA. RefSeq lists it as uncharacterized. The transcript is spliced from 2 exons. The record is from RefSeq and is a predicted model, not a curated record. Lineage: Eukaryota; Metazoa; Chordata; Aves; Passeriformes; Passeridae.